Long non-coding RNA from Bubalus bubalis (water buffalo), 4149 nucleotides. RefSeq lists it as uncharacterized. The record is from RefSeq and is a predicted model, not a curated record. The transcript has 4 exons. NCBI's taxonomy places the organism in Eukaryota, Metazoa, Chordata, Mammalia, Artiodactyla, Bovidae.
ACUCUGGGAGCCUUGAUUGUUCUGUUUGUUAUAGUCUGUUGCUGUAUCCAUCUCUCCACCAGAAUGAGCAACCCGAUGAUGACUCUGAGCACCCAAAGGUGCCCACCCGCAUGUCCUCAGGGUCUAGCAAGGGUUUCGGAAAUAUCUGGGGAGAGACUAAGGAAAGCAGGGUAGAAGAACACGGUGUUUUAUCUUGUUAGGUGGGGGCUUUGGUGACAGAUGUGGCCAGCAUGGGAAAGAAAACCAAAGGUAACAAGAGGCAUCACAUAGGCCGAAGUUUCUGGAAAGAAGCUUGGGGGCAGUGGCAGAAAACCCUGCAGUCUUGGUUGUGACACCGGUCACCUACCCGCUGUGUUGCUUAUUGUCGACUUUCUUCCCUCUUUUUUCUCUACCCGCCCCCCCGCCCCACCCCCAACAAAUAUUUGCUGAAUGCCUACUGUAUGCAGAAUCCUGGGGUUGGCUGGGGAAGGGAGAGAGGGAGUGAUUGUCGAAAACCGCAAAGACAAGGUCCAACUCUGAGUCCAAGAGUACAGAUGACGAAACAGAGAAAGAAUCCAUCUGUUAUUAACAAGCUUAAAAUUCCAAACCUGGAAAAACAAAUCCUCUGUUGCUUAGUAAAUAUUUGUGGAGUAGCUGAACGAGGGUCCAGCCCCAAGAUAACUAAGGCACAACCUUUUCCCUCCAGAAGUUCACGGCAACAAACCACAUGCCCUCCGUACCUGGUAAAGGCUCCGGACCCACUAAUGGAUCAGAGCUACUGUUCCUACCGUGUUCAUUAUGUAAUUUCUUCCUAAUCUGAGUCCUGGGGCUUUGUUUGUUUAGUGUGGGUGCUGCAGCUUCUGAGGACUGAGUGCAACAGGAAAGCAUUUUCUAAGCCAUUGUCAUCCCAUUUGAUCCGCUGAAGGACACCUUGGUCUCAAUAGUUCUACGAAUCCAGAGAGUCUGCUCUACAGAAAUGAAGACAAGCACGCAGUCAACCGAGGGUUUUCAUGACCCCUAGUGGUAAAUAGGGGGAAGGGCCGCUUUAAAGCUGAAGGAGACCCUGGUUCCAUCCCUGAGUUGGGAAGAUUCCCCUGGACUCCAAUAUUCUUGCCUGGAUAAUCCCAUGGACAGAGCGCAUGGGGUGCCAAAGAGUCAGACACUGAACGACGAAUACUUUGGGAGAAAACACACCUGUUCCAAGCACUUCUUAAUGCCCAUACUGCCUAAGAACCCUGUGAAGUGAUGAUCUGGAAAUGGCAAUCCUUAAACAUUUCUGGUGAUGUUCUGUUCUUUUGAUUAAUAUUUCUUCAGAGCCAGCCCACUGCCUAGCCAGCCCACACUUAAACUGGUUCAGUUUAAGAAUGAAUGAAAAAUCUGAGACUUUAGAGAGAGAAGCACAUCGAUAUUUCAAGUCAGGAUCAGGGUCUCUUCAUUUUUUUUUUUUUUUUUAAUGAAGGCAGUCUCUGUAUUUGUAAGAAGUUCGAUUUGGUCAUCUGGUUGUGGAGAAGAAUGGUAUUUUUCUGUUGAGUAAAUCUCAUGGAUGCCUUAGAGAUAUGUUUUAGGCUGACUGUCCUGGUCUUUUUUGUUUUCAUUUCUGGCUACACCACACGGCAUGUGGGAUCUUAGUUCCCCAACCAGGGAUUGAACCCCAGGCCCCUCGCCUUGGAAGGGCAGUGUCUUAACCUCUAGACCACCAGGGAAGUCCCCUUGCCCCUGUCUUUUACGAAGGGUUUACAGGGCCUUUCUUAAUGUUCUCCAGUGUGUCGGGCAGCAGCUAAUUUUUAGAGGAAGCAGUGAUAAGAAUCUGAGAAAGGCUUUUCGCCCCCGAGUUCCUUGCACCGCCGUCCAGCAGAAGGCUGCCUGGGACAGAUGGGUAUCUAGCCUCCUCAUGCCUUCCCCAGGAAGAGGCUCCCUCUUCCAUUACCCAGGCUGACAUUCUUCUGCAGGUCCAUUGAAGGCCUGCAGAGUGGGGCCCCUUCCCCUUUCCUCCAGCCCCACUUCCCGCCUCUUCCUCAGACUUGACGUGUGUUCUAACCAAUUCCAACUCCCUUGUGUCUCACUCCUCUCUGCUUUGCACAUGUAGGUCCCCUCAGCCAGGAGACCCUGUCCCUCCAAGGCUCUGGACUCACUGCUCAAGACCCCGUGUAAGCGUUCUCUCUCCUGGGAGCCUUGAAUGAUCCCUCCUGGCCGACCUUGUGUCCCCUGUGUUCAGUUCAGUUCAGUCACCUCUCAAACACCUAUAAUUGCAUGUUAUCUCACAUUCCAUUGUUUGCACACAUGUCUCUCAUAGACAUCUGUGAUAGUCUCAAGGACAAGGACUGUCCUGGUGCCUAACUCCCUGGCUUGUCCAGGUGCCCUGCAAAUGUUCACUGACGUCCUGACAUCAGUGUCUGUAGGCUUAGACUGUUCCGCUGGGCUGUAGUGUUUUGAUAGGAGAGGGUGGGGAGCGUGCAGCUAGUUCAAAAGUAGAGUUGACAGUCAAGAGAGCAGGUCUUUGAAAGUGUACAGAACCACUUAUUAAAUCAAAUGGCCUCAAACUUCAUCCCCUGAGGAAUAUGAUGGUUUCACAAAAAGGAUUCCUAAGUCUUUAUCUGGGUGCAUCACAGUUUCUAUAACUGGAGGAGCUGUGAUCUAAGCAUUUGUAAAACUCUGAGGUCAAUGCAGGAAGUCUGUAACUGCAUGAAAAAUAUAUAAUGCACACAUGUGUCUUUGGGGAGCGAAAUGGUCCAAUCUUUCAUAGGUGGGUAUAUGAUCACAAAAGAUUGAAUACCACUGAUGAAGAAUUGUUGCAAAAAGGAUGCUCGUAAUCUUUUAUUGGCUCAGUAGGAGUUGACACUUUCUUGAGUGCUUCACAAGGGAGGCUUAUAAACCAGCGAUUCUGUUGCUUUUUCUCCACUGUCCUUCGUUAGGGCACCUACGGGUCUGGUCUACAAUUUAAAAAGAGAGGUCAAGGGCUUUUGCCUGUGUUCCAUUGGUGUUGAGUUAGUGUCAUCCUCCUUAGGUUCUUAAGGUAUUGUGAAGGUAUGAUCAGAACCCUCGUUAACCCAAGAUUAUGCAGCGUUCCCCACAUAAAGAAUUUUUCCUGCUGCAGGAAAGCUAUCCCAGAGUGCUCACCAAUCCUGCCCAGGUGGUCCAGGCUGAACCCUUUGUGCAGGUAACCUACAUGUGAAGCAUGACUAUAAAAUGUUCUGCCACUGUGGGCUGGGCUUGCAAACUGCCAGGAUGCUUUUGCUCCUGGAUGGGAGAUGAUUAAAGUGAAUUGUGGUCGGGAGAGUCAGGCUUCAUGUGUGUGUGAGCAGGGCAGUCAUUCAGAGUCUCAGGCUUUAAUGCUCUUGCUGUCUUGAGUGAAGUGAAAGUGAAAGUCGCUCAGUCAUGUCCGACUCUUUGCGACUCCAUGGACUGUCGGCUACCAGACUCCUCAGCAGACAGUCCUUGGAGUUUUUCAGGCAAAAGUACUGGAGUGGGUUGCCAUUUGAAGUUCUUAAUAAUUUUUGAAUAAAAGCUUCUAUAUUUUUACUUUGCACCUGGUCCUGCAAAUUGUGCUGCAAGACCCGAGUGGCUGCACAUACCUGAAGCAGCACCGUGCGGUGGAAAGGGCACGAGCUCUGGAGUCAGCAGUUGGGAGUUCAGGUCCCUGUUCUGUAAUUUCCCAGCUGUGUGAGUGUGACUAGGUUGCUUAACGUCUCUGGCCUUCAGUGUUCUUAUAUCUAAAACGGUGAUCAUGGUGACCAUAAUAUCUAACUUCUGUAAUUGUCAGGGCUGUUAAACAGUACACGUGAUGGCAAUGGCUGAUGAUGAUGACAAUGAUUUGAAAUUAACAAGUUAAGAAAGAACAAAAUACAUGAAUGUGAAAAGGAGACCAAAACAAACCAAAAAAUCCAUACACACAGACUUUUAGAGGUGGGAGGAAUCCUAAAGAUGAGCUCUUAGGUCCAGAUGUUUUGACCUUUGUCCUUCCACAGUCCUUUGAAUUAAACCACGUGAAAACAUUAUAUUAUCAUUAUUUUCCUUUAUUAUAAAUCUUUUUCUGCAUUCAACUUUGAGACCUCUCCCCUACCUCUCCAGACUUGGGACUGUGUCUAUCCUUGAAAACAGACAAACAAACAAACAAAACUCUUCACAACGCCUGUCAUAAAGUAGAUGUUUAGUAAAUAAUUGUUGAAAGAA